Molecule: RNA transcript, 9245 nt
Organism: Brassica napus (rape)
Lineage: Eukaryota; Viridiplantae; Streptophyta; Magnoliopsida; Brassicales; Brassicaceae
Exons: 2
Source: RefSeq, a predicted model, not a curated record
CACACACACACAAACCUCUCUCCCACUCAUUUCUCUCUCACUCUCACAUCCCAUCUCAUCUCUCUUUUAUUUCUAUAAAAGAUAAUAUAUAAUACCAAAUAUAAAAUCAUCUCCCACCUUUUAUUAUACAACACGUUAUCAGCACGAAGCUCAGACCAACUGAAGUUUAUCAAUCCGAAAGUUCUUAAACCAGUAGAGGUAAUGUUUAAAUUUAUGUAUUUCAAUAUAUUUAAUUUAUUUAAAUUUUAUUAUUAUUUCGGAGUGAGAGGCUGGACCUUCUCCGUUUAUUUUUCGGGAUGAUAUGCGCUGUCUUUCCCGACUGAUCGUUAUGGUAAGCUAUGCCUUCACGAUCAGAGAAACACGUGGUAGGCUUUGCCUCCGUGAAUAAAAAUAAAAGGUCAAAAAUGGUAGACUAAGUCUCCUCGGACCUUGAAAUAAGUAAAAGUCAAAAUGGUAGACCAUGUCUCCUCGGACUUUGAAAAAUGAUCAAUAUGGUAGUCUAUUACUCCUCGGAUCAUGUGGUAGGCUAACUCCCGAUUUCAUUUAUGCUAUUUAAAUUCCUGCAAUUUAAAUUUCUGCAAUUUAAGUUUAUGCUUUUAUUUUAUGCCUUUAAUUUCUGCAUUUAAAUUAUGCAUUUCAAUUUCCGUCUUUAUAUAUUAUUAUUCUAUGAAUUCGGUUAUCAUAUCAAAUUUGACAAAGCUCAAAAUAAAUGCCCUUGAUAUUACGGGAAAUAGUUAUAUGACCUGGGCAGUGGGUGCAAAGAUGCACCUGAGAGAAAAUGAGCUUUGAGAAAUCAUCGAUAAGUUGAAACUAUAUCGGAUGAGAAAAAGAUAAAGCCAUGAUAAUUUACACCACUUUAAUGAUGGUUUAUAAGAUAAAGUGUAUCAUGAGAAAGAUCUAGAAGAUCUUUGAAUAAUCAAAUCCUUGAAAGAAAGGAUUCACCAAAUUGUUGGAGUUGAUGUAAAUCCUCCGUGAGAAUUGAAAAGAAAAGAAACUCAUGAUACUAAACCAUCAAGUCGGUCCUUCUUGAAAAGGAAAAGGGUGUGGAUGCGGUUGAAACCGCUAUCGUGGUCGUGGAAGAGGACGAGGAAGAAGAUUCUGUCCUUAUGAGAAUAAUGGAAACUUCCACGAAAAAUGAAAGUGGUCGGGUGAUAAAAGGCAAACAGAAAAGGUUUGCUAUAGAUACGGCCAGAAAGAAAAUUGGGUACGUAAUUUUCGUACGCCAAAUAUUUAGCCGAUCUAUAUCGAGAUUCAAAAAGAAAAAGAGAAAGGAAGUGAAAUAAACUUCAUCUCUUAUGAGCCCGGACCAUCUUUUCAUAGCUUGAAUACUCAUCUUGAUGAUUCAGUUUUUCUGGUUGGUCCAGAAAAUGAAAAUAAAAUAACGAUGUGAUAUGAGAAUUAUCUUCCUGAAUAAGAUUUUGAGAUUCAGGAUGAAGAAAAAUAUACCUGACAGGUAUUGGGUCAUCGUCAUGACUACUAAAGGUAACAAAUAUCUUUUCUUUUUCAAAUUAAAUAAGUAUAGUAUCUAGUAAUAUAAACAUAUUAUUGGCUCUAGAAGAGCUUAUGAUAAAAAGACAUGCAUAAGAAAAAGAUGGAAAAAUUAUAAAUGAGUGGUAAACCUGAAGUUUACUGAUAUAUAGCCAUCUCCAAUAAUGUUAUCGACAUUAUAGUGAAAUGUUGAAAAACCAGAAGUUUUUCACAUAUAGCAUGUCAAAAAAAUAAAGGAAACCAUCAUGGGUGAUGAAUCAUCAAACAAGUUCACAAUAUGUGAUUUCUUUAAGUCGACCCCAAAUUAAGAUCUCACUCUAAAGGAUUUGAAACAUAAUUCAUCCCAAAUGGGAAAACUGAAUAUGUUAUUGGUUCUAGAGUGGGAUUCAUUUCAAGAUUUUAGACAUGGAAUGUCACCAUCUCGAGGAGGAGAAUUAAAGAAUCCUAGUGAGUGGAACAUUGAGAAAUUAUGUUCGCACUUGAAAAAGAACUUGAUAAAGUAAACUCAAGUAAGAUGAUCCCCAUGAUCGGGUGUAAACAUGCAGUUGUGCAUGUAAUAAAGACAUAUACAAUCCAGAGGGAUAAAGUAUAUGGAUAAUUAGAAAUAUGCUCGCAAGUUUGCUAGAAGCAUAUGAUAAGCUGAUGGAAUGAGAUAUGUGAAAUGGAUUACAAUGAAAAGUAGAAUAAUCCAUUUACAAAAUGCCUGCCAGACAUUUUGAUGCAAAAAUGAUAUCUCAUAUUCCAGCUGAAAAUGCUCCAAUAAGAAAAUAGUGUCCUAAACGGACGAUAUAUGAGUCUAUGACACGCUAGAGACGUGAUAGACCACUUUGGUUCUAAAGAGUCCUCGAAAUGGAGCAAAAAUAUAAAUAGAGGAUGAAUCUGAUGAUGAGACCGUUGAUAUGGUUAAUAUAACAGUCAGGUACCUGGGUAAAUCAUCGAUGAUGAUAAAGAGAUCUCGAUUAACCAUAUCAGUACGGGUAAAAAGAUAGAACCAAAGAGAAAAUAGAUUGUCGACAAUAAUGAAAAAGCGCUAUAUUAUAUAAAAAUAAAGAUUAUGAAUCUACCUCUAUGUAUGAGGGUAGAGUGAAUUGAUUGGCCAUCAAUUCGAUAUAAAGCUCGUUAGAAUAACGAGAGAUUUUUGGAACAAAAGUCCAAGGUAUAUAUUUCUCCAGAGAAUGAAAUGAAAGAUGACCUUGAGGUAUGAAAACGGCUUGUUCCGAGGUCACUGGAGAAAAUUUAAAAUAGAUGCAAUAUAUUGAAAUGUCUGGCAGGACAAAAACGACUUGAGUUGCAUCUUGAUAUUUUAGAAGUCCCUGGAGAGUUAAAGAUGCUCUCGGGAAUGUAUAAAACUCUGGAAGAGUUAGAACAAACCGUAUAUAAGGUAUCUUGAACCGGUAACUGGUGAUAUGUUUACGACACGAUUUGCCGAUUGCCAUUUUAAUGAGGAUGAAUUUCUAGCGUUAGGGGGAGGAAUUUGAGAAUACAUGGUGUACAUAGUCGUUGUUACACCUUGAUCCCCCUACGAAUCAAAGAGAGCUGGAAAUUCAAGAAAAUGUGCAUUUGCAUAAUUUGGCAAACCAGUUACCAGAUGUGUUCACAGAUACGACAUGAUAUACCCGCUGAAAAUGUUCCAUCAAGAGUUGAUGUUCCUAAAGAACAAAGUGAUGGUAACAAAAUAAAUGAACCUAGGGUUCAGUUAAAGAGGGGGAGACUAGCGGGUUCUAGAGAUAAAAAUCCCCGAAAGAAAUUGGUUGAGAAAAGUUGCAAGGUUCCUGAAGAACCUGAUACUGAAAAAUGUCUGAAAGAAGACAUAAGUGGAAAGGUUCAAAGAGAACCUGAUACUGAAAGAUGUCUGAAAGAAGGCAUAAGUGGAAAUGUUCCAGAAGAACCUGAUACUAAAAAAUGUCUGAAAGAAGGCAUAGAUGAAAAGGGUCAAGAUGAACCAAAUAAAGAUGAUCCAGAUGACGAAAAGGGAACAGAAAAGUAUGAGAUUUCCACCAACUACACCCUUGAUGAAAAAGUUAUAAGAUAAAAGAUGUUGAUGGAAUGUUCUCCUUUUCUGUCCAAAGAGAUCGAUCAUAAAAGUGAUGAUCCCAAUCCAAGGUCCAUUUUGGAAUGUUAAAAAGACAUGAUUGGGAGGAGUGGCAGAAGGCCAUUCAAAUUGAAUUAUUCUCCCUGAAUAAAAGAAAUGUCUUUGGACCUAUAGUCAUAAAGCCUGAGAAUAUAAAUCUUGUUGGGUAUAAGUGGGUAUUCGUGAGAAAAGUAACACGAUAUAAAACCUGAUUAGUUGCCCAAAGAUUUUCUCAGAGACCGGGAAUUGAUUUUGAGGAAAUGUAUUCUCCAGUAAUGGAUGCAAUUAUGUUUAGAUUUUUGAUGAGCCUAAUGGCAUCUAAAAAAUCUAGAAAUGCAUCUUAUAGACGUUUUGACUACAUAUUGGAUAACGAUAUAUAUAUGAAACUCCCUGAGGGAUUGAAAAUGCCAGGGGCAUUGAAAGAAAAAUCCAGGGAGAUUUGUUCGGUCAAGUUACAGCGAUCACUUUACGGAUUAUAGCAAUCCGGACGCUUGUGGUACAAUCGCUUAAGUGAAUAUCUUUUGAUAAAGGAUAUGUUAAUGAUGCGAUAUGUCCAUGCAUUUUUAUAAAGAAAACGUCAUCUGGCUUUGUGAUCAUUGCUGUAUAUGUAGAUGACCUGAACAUAAUUGGAAAUCAAAAGGAGGUUGAUGAUGCUCGAACUCAUAUGAAAGAAGAGUUCGAAAUGAAAGAUCUUGGAAAGACAAAGUUUUGUCUUGGGCUCCAGAUAGAGCAUCUCCGAGAGGGAAUAUUUGUGCAUCAAUAAAACUAUACAAAAAGGUUAUUGAAACACUUUUGUAUGAAGAAAGCGACUCCUUUAAGUACUUCAAUGGUAAAUUGAUCUCUCGAUGUUGAAAGAGAUGUUUAAAAGAUCCUGGUAAGAUCUUAUAUAAAUAAGUACUUUGGAGAUGCUAAUGGUAAUAAAGCAUAUGUGAGCAUAUAUAUCUUGCGAGUUGUAUUUGAUUAAAUAUACUUUUAGACACUAAUGUCUUUGCAAGAUCCUGCUCAUUUCCUAUUCAUGGAAAUUAGAACGGCGUCGAGAAUAUCCGUUCUCUCCAAGGUAUGUUUUAAAUUAGGGUUGAUGUAUUCUAGAAAACCCGAGUUUGGUAUGGUUUUGCAGAUACAUGCUAUUUAUAAAGUCGAACACAAACUGGAUAUGGUUUUACAAUUGGUGAAACCGCGAUUACAUAGCGUUCCGAGAAACGAUCCUAGGUUUCGACUUCUUCAAAGCAUGUCGAGAAUAUGUGUGACAUCGGUCAAUAAGUCACCACAUAUAAGAAUUAAGCGGAAUAGUCAACGAGAAAGAGCCGACGAAAACAUUUGAAGAUAAUUCGGCUUGCGUCGCUUAACUCAAAUAAGGUUACAUUAAGAGUGACAGAACGAAGCAUAUCCCUCCAAGAUUCUUCUCGUACAUAAGGGAGCUCGAGAAAAAUAAAAAGGUGGACAUCGAAUAUGUACGGUCAUGCGACAAUCCGGCAGACUUGUUUACAAAGGUUCUUCCUACUACAACAUUCCGAAAACACGUGUAUGGUAUCAGAAUGCGGUAUUUGCUUGACCUGUGAAGAGAAAGCUAUGCCCACUAUUCCCAGGGGGAGAUUACGGCAGUGUACUCUUUUUCCGUCGUCAUGGUUUUUAUCCCAAUGGGUUUUUCCAUGACUAUGUUUUUAACGAGGCACUACGUAAUAUGAGAUGGAUAAUCAAGGGGGAGUGUUAGAUAAUGAUCAUCCAUCUCAUGAAGACAUCUGUUUCAUGACUAAUAUUGUAUUUGUCAUUGUCACUAGUACACAUGUCAUUCUGUGUAUACUGUUUCAUCUCCUAUAAAUAGGGAGUGUGUAGACCAAAAAUAAGAAUGAGUUUUGUACAACAUCUCUCUCGUAUUACACACACACACAAACCUCUCUCCCACUCUCACAUCCCAUCUCAUCUCUCUUUUAUUUCUAUAAAAGAUAAUAUAUAAUACCAAAUAUAAAAUCAUCUCCCACCUUUUAUUAUACAACAAUUCCCUAAUAGCCAUGCGGGUUCGGUUCAUCCAGUUAAUUUGGUUGGGGUAGUGUGGUUUCUGAUAAUUCUAUUGAGUUUAAACGAGUAUUUGUUUUUGGUAAUAUUUUGUUUAAAUUAAUUUGGUUAGUUCUAAAUAAAUUCAAUUAUUUUUUAUUUGAAAUUUUGGUUAGUUCGGAAUUUAGUUAAAACUAAAUAAAUUUGAAAACCGAACUAAUCGAAUAUUAUACCAAACAUCAAUCAAUAUUAUUAAAACUAAAGUACAAAUAUGAAGUAACCCUUAAAAUUACAUUUUAAUUACACCUAAUGCCGUUCUCAUUUUUUAUUUUACCCAAAAUUAACUUUACUAAAUCAAGUAACAAAUAUCAGUUUCCUUAAAAAAUGUAUUUGUUACACCAAAUUCCCUAAAAUUAUGCUUAUGUCAAUCUUUCAUUUCCUAAAAUAAAAUAUUACAUAUCAUUUUCAAAAAGCUUUUAAUGGUGUCAAACAUUUAGCCAUAUAAAAUUCUUUGGAUUUAUGUUCUCCAAUUGGUCAAGCAGUUAAUUAAACCAAACGUAGAUAUAUUAUUGUUCAGAUGAAAUCAUUUGCAUACUUUCUUUCAAUCCAUCUGAGCGCUUUGUUCCUAGCAUGUUGGCAUUGCGGCCUACUAACACUGAGCUUCCACUUCUCCAUAACCAACUCCUCAAUCUUCAUGGGCAUGAAAUACUCUGGCUUUUCUCUGAUCUUGUAAACAAACAAGCGAGCUAUUUGUGGAACUUUGAGCAUCUCACAAGUACCCGUAGGAACACAGGUAUGAUCCUUCUUCAAUAUCUUCACCUGCCAUUUGUUGGGAUACUUUGCUGAGGAUGAGCAGUAAAUGCGCCAAGAGCAACCUUUGCCUUCACCUACAAAGGCAAUCUUUGUCUUGUCAUAUCUAUUUUGCUUGAUGUUCAGACCCGUUUUCAGAGCAUAGUCGAGCACUGCUUCCUUAAAUGCAAUUCCACUGAUGAACACUUGCCCUACAUACAACUCCCCAUUGCCUCUCCUAAUAUCAUUGCGCCGCCUGUAGAUAGUCCUUUGAAGUUCUUCCCCCUCUUCAUCUUCAUCAUCUUCUGUCUCUGGAUACAAGUUAUGCUUCACUUAAGGUUCAUCAACAAAGUUGAAAGCUUCUUUCUCAAUGUUGUAGUCGUUGCGCUCUCUGCGAUCUUCUCCAUCGGAGUCAACAUCAGGAGAAUCGGUAAUCCCUGGGUCGAAAUCAGGUACAUCAUUCCACUCAACAUUCACGUUAGUCCAUGAUUCCAUUCUCGAUUCCUGCAAAACAGAGAAACACAGCGUCAGUACCAGAAAGAGAGAUAGACAAAGAGACAAUACAAUAACGAGAGAGAGAUAGAGAGAAAGCGAGAGAGAGAUAGAGAGUUAGAGAUAGAAUUCUCGAAAUUACUUCAGAGAGAACAAUCAGAGGAGCAACGAGGCGGAGGAGGAAGAGCAGCGACGUUCUUUGCGAGAGAGAAACAAAAGAUUUAUGUUUUCGGGUCUUGGGUCGGUUUAUUAGUUCCAAUUGGUAUUAGGUUGAUUUAAUCUGGUUUAUAUCUCUAAUCGGGUCGUAAGCGGGUCGUUUUUGGUUUACCUAAGUUAGCCAUUGGUUAACUUUAUGUUUUGGGAACACUAACCAACUUAAAACCGCUAUUUGUCGGUAUUAGUCCGUUUUUCAAAGUUUGUGUGGAAACGGGUUUCGAACUUUCAUAUUGUGUGGAAAUAGGUUGUUAUACUUAUAAAGUAGGCAAUUGGGACGAAGGUGAAAGAUUGUGUACAUUUAUUACUAUGUGAUAGUUAUGGUGGGGAAAUACGUCGUCUUCCCAUAUUAUUAAAACUAAAGUACAAAUAUGAAGUAACCCUUAAAUUUACAUUUUAAUUACAUCUAAUGCCAUUUUCAUUUUUUAUUUUACCCAAAAUUAACUUUACUAAAUCAAGUAACAAAUAUCAGUUUCCUUAAAAAAUGUAUUUGUUACACCAAAUUCCCUAAAAUUAUGUUUAUGUCAAUCUUUCAUUUCCUAAAAUAAAAUAUUACAUAUCAUUUUCAAAAAGCUUUUAAUGGUGUCAAACAUUUAGCCAUAUAAAAUUCUUUGGAUUUAUGUUCUCCAAUUGGUCAAGCGGUUAAUUAAACCAAACGUAGAUAUAUUAUUGUUCAGAUGAAAUCAUUUGAAAUGUGUUUUAACUUUUAGCCAUAUUUUCCACUUUGCAUAGAUGUUUAAAAAAAAACUUAGCAUAUGUACUGAUAAUUUCACAGUUAUAUCUUACUGUUGUUUAUAGAUUCAUACAUCAUACAUCUAUUAUUAUUUAUAUAGUUAACAGGUUCAUGCGUAAAUUUGAUUCAUGCAUAAACUUGAGGUCAUUGAAAAUAGAUCAUUAAACCAUACAUUUUUAGUAAAAAUACAUGUAUAUUUAAUUAUAUAAUUAUCAACCACUGUAUGUACACUGUUUUGAUACAUCAUACAAGUGUCAGUAUUGAUAUUUAUAUACUAUUGUUGAAAAAAUUACACAGUCUCUGAGAUAUCAAUUACGUGAAAAGACACACUUCGCUUUCUACACACUUCUUUCCAUUAGAAUGACUAACUUACCCCUUAACUUAUUCUGAAACAUAACGUGCGGCUACAAAAAUUCUCUUUACUCUCUCUUGGAUGAAUCUGAAACCUAGUGACUCCCACCUAAACUAUCUACAUCGAAUCUCUAAUCUUUUCUCUUCCACUCUUUUGGCCCUGUUUUUAUUUUCUCCAAUUUUUCUUUUCACCAUCAAUUGAUUAAUAUUAAAAUAAGAGAAGCAAUUUUAGUUGACGAUGGUGGUGGAGGAGGCGGAGGCUGUGGCGGCGGUAGCGGAGACUGUGGUGGAGGUGGAGGUGGUUAUGGAGGAGGCAGCGGAGGCCGUGGCGGCGGCAGUGGAGGCCUUGGUGGAGGUAGCGGUGUUUUCUGAUUCAAUUGCAAAAUUUUGUCUUUCUAAUUCAGAACUUUAGUUCUACUUAGCUCAUGUGUCUAAUGAAACGGAUCUCAAAAUAUGUCUUUUAAAAGUAGUGGAUACGAAGAUGGUAGAUAUGGUGGUGGUAGAGAUGGUUACUCGUGAGGAGAAGAUGGUGGUGGAUACAGUGGAGGUGGAAGACAGGAGAGAGAGAGUGAUAUAUGGAGGUGGAAGUGGCGGUGGAUACCGGAGUGAAGGUUGCAGUGGCUAUGGAUACAGUGGUGGUGACAGUGAGGGCGAUGGAUACUAGAGUGGAAGUUGUGGUGGUUACGGAUUUUGAUGGAGAUGGUUACUCGAGAGGAGAUGGUGGUAAAUACGGUGGAGGUGAUAGAUGGAAGAGUGGGUGAUACGGAGGUUGCGGUGGUGGAGAUGGUUACUCGACAGGAGGAGAUGGUGGUAAAUACGGUGGGGGUGAAAGAUGGAAGAGUGGGUGAUACGGAGGUUGCGGUGACUGUGGUUACAGUCAUUUAUAAUGUGGAGUAUAUAACACAUUCUCUCUCUUUGAUUCUUAACUUUAUUCAUGUCUUUUAGUUAUUGUAAGGAUAUUUGCGUCUCAAAAUUUUGUGUUCACACAAUAAGUGUCUCACCACAUGUCUUAUUGUAAGCAAAAGUCAAAAUGUGUGGUAAAAACACUAAAAGUUCAUUUAUGAUGCAAUAACUAAAUAUUUUCAAUUAAAAUAUAAAUAAUAUCAAUUUACACUA